RNAcentral lists this non-coding RNA (68 nucleotides) under unclassified sequences. Its description in RNAcentral is "Cyano-1 RNA". It matches the Rfam family "Cyano-1 RNA". RNAcentral also lists the same sequence under 1 other name. The record is from RNAcentral.
GUUUAUGUGAGGAAAAAUCGCUUCACGGGGUGGAAACAAGGAAACAUUCCCGAGAAGCGUUUUUGGAA